GAGGGUAUAACUCAGUAAUAGAGUGCAUGCUUAGCAUACAUAAGGUCUUGGGUUCAAUCCCCAGUACCUCCA
Molecule: transfer RNA, 72 nt
Organism: Camelus ferus (Wild Bactrian camel)
Lineage: Eukaryota; Metazoa; Chordata; Mammalia; Artiodactyla; Camelidae
Rfam family: tRNA
About the family: Transfer RNA (tRNA) molecules are approximately 80 nucleotides in length. Their secondary structure includes four short double-helical elements and three loops (D, anti-codon, and T loops).
Source: Rfam